AUACGUAGGGGGCUAGCGUUAUCCGGAAUUACUGGGCGUAAAGGGUGCGUAGGUGGUUUCUUAAGUCAGAGGUGAAAGGCUACGGCUCAACCGUAGUAAGCCUUUGAAACUGGGAAACUUGAGUGCAGGAGAGGAAAGUGGAAUUCCUAGUGUAGCGGUGAAAUGCGUAGAGAUUAGGAGGAACACCAGUGGCGAAGGCGACUUUCUGGACUGUAACUGACACUGAGGCUCGAAAGCCAGGGGAGC
RNAcentral lists this ribosomal RNA (246 nucleotides) under uncultured bacterium. RNAcentral describes it as "partial 16S ribosomal RNA". It matches the Rfam family "Bacterial small subunit ribosomal RNA", at positions 523 to 769 of the family's 1533-position model. The record is from RNAcentral.